RNAcentral lists this ribosomal RNA (301 nucleotides) under uncultured bacterium. RNAcentral describes it as "partial 16S ribosomal RNA". It matches the Rfam family "Bacterial small subunit ribosomal RNA", at positions 509 to 807 of the family's 1533-position model. The record is from RNAcentral.
CAGUAGCCGCGGGAAUACGGAGGGUGCAAGCGUUAAUCGGAAUUACUGGGCGUAAAGCGCACGCAGGCGGUCUGACAAGUCAGAUGUGAAAUCCCCGGGCUUAACCUGGGAACUGCAUUUGAAACUGUCAGGCUGGAGUCUUGUAGAGGGGGGUAGAAUUCCAGGUGUAGCGGUGAAAUGCGUAGAGAUCUGGAGGAAUACCGGUGGCGAAGGCGGCCCCCUGGACAAAGACUGACGCUCAGGUGCGAAAGCGUGGGGAGCAAACAGGAUUAGAUACCUCGGUAGUCCCUGUCUCUUAUAC